Molecule: ribosomal RNA, 616 nt
Filed under: uncultured bacterium
Lineage: Bacteria
Description: bacterial SSU rRNA
Rfam family: Bacterial small subunit ribosomal RNA (bases 1-530)
Source: RNAcentral
CCUACGGGAGGCAGCAGUGGGGAAUAUUGCACAAUGGGCGCAAGCCUGAUGCAGCGACGCCGCGUGAGGGAUGAAGGCCUUCGGGUUGUAAACCUCUUUCAGUAGGGAAGAAGCCGGCUUUUGGGUUGGUGACGGUACCUGCAGAAGAAGCGCCGGCUAACUACGUGCCAGCAGCCGCGGUAAUACGUAGGGCGCAAGCGUUAUCCGGAAUUAUUGGGCGUAAAGAGCUCGUAGGCGGUUUGUCGCGUCUGCCGUGAAAGUCCGGGGCUUAACCCCGGAUCUGCGGUGGGUACGGGCAGACUAGAGUGCAGUAGGGGAGACUGGAAUUCCUGGUGUAGCGGUGAAAUGCGCAGAUAUCAGGAGGAACACCGAUGGCGAAGGCAGGUCUCUGGGCUGUAACUGACGCUGAGGAGCGAAAGCAUGGGGAGCGAACAGGAUUAGAUACCCUGGUAGUCCAUGCCGUAAACGUUGGGCACUAGGUGUGGGGGACGAUACUACGUUCGUCGCGUCGCUACGACAUAGUAGCCGCCGUCGGAGGUACGGCCGCGACGACGUAACGUACGAAGAAGUUAGUACGGCGUUGAGACGNGCCGACGGACGACGACGAGGGAGGAGG